Molecule: transfer RNA, 77 nt
Filed under: Candidatus Peregrinibacteria bacterium
Lineage: Bacteria; Candidatus Peregrinibacteriota
Description: tRNA-Arg
Rfam family: tRNA
About the family: Transfer RNA (tRNA) molecules are approximately 80 nucleotides in length.
Source: RNAcentral
GCCCUCGUAGCUCAGAUGGAUAGAGCGACGGCCUUCUAAGCCGUAGGUCACAGGUUCGAAUCCUGUCGGGGGUACCA